Diuraphis noxia (Russian wheat aphid) is the source of this 296-nucleotide long non-coding RNA. Lineage: Eukaryota; Metazoa; Arthropoda; Insecta; Hemiptera; Aphididae. The record is from RefSeq and is a predicted model, not a curated record.
UCAAGGCCCGAGCUGCAGUCUCCCCAGUCAAAAUCCAUUAGUAUGACUUUUUAGUCUUUACAGUGUAUCUUAUAUCAAAGUUAUAUGGGAUAUAGGUGCCUAUUUCAAUCUAAUCUAAUAUGUAAUAUACUAAAUACUAAUAUGUUUUAUAAUAAUAAAUAUAGAUCGAGGACUCGAGGUACCAUUUGGAGUAAAUAAAGAAUUUUCCAAAAUGAUAUCCAGACAAACCUACAGAAAAGAAAGUGUGGAAAAUAUAAAUUAUAAGAAUGCUGUAAAACACACAGUAAUCAAACCGU